UAAAUGGAGAUAUUGACUGAUUAAGAUUGCAAUAACACCCCUUUUAUUUCAUCUAACUUUCUGUUUCCUUCUAAUUGGUUACAAAAGCUGCUGCUUUUUUUUUUUUUAAAUUGAUUUCGGCUGAAAUUGGAAUUUGAAACUUUACCGCAGCUUUAUUUUUUUAUCCCACUUAUUGAGAUCGCCAGUACCUGGCCAUUUCAAACCCAUUUUUGCAAUAGUGGUAGUCCUCAAUUGUUUGCUCAAUUUCAGCUUGUGUGUUCAUCACAAAAGGUCCAUGCUGAACCACUGGUUCAUUGAUCGGUUGCCCAGCGAUUAGUACGAAUCUCAAUGGCUUGGAAGACCUAUUCCAUACGCUUAAACCAUCUCCAGUACCCAAAACCAGAACAUGGUGAGCAGUUGCUUGGGAAGAAUUUCUCAAGCCAAAGGCUCCCUCACCUUCAAUGACAUAAACAAAUGCAUUCCACGAUUCUGGAACGGUUUGGUGGACUUGAGCUCUUGGUUUCAGAGUGAAAUCCAGAAACAUUGUUGGUGUUCUUGUGUAUACUGGAGACCUAACUCCCAUUGAUUCUCCUGCUAUAACUCGCACUUCAGCCCCAUCUUUUUCAGCCCUUUGGAUGUCAUCACUUACAAGUUCUUGAUACCUUGGUUCAAUCAUUUUGUCUUCAGAUGAAAGAUUUAUCCAAAGCUGCAACCCUUUUUGUGUUCCUUCUCCUGCAGGCAUUUCUGAGUGGAUUAUCCCUCUUCCUGCUGUCAUCCACUGCACAUCUCCAGCAUGGAUUGUACCCUUAUGCCCUGCAAAAUCUUGAUGAGUGAUGCCUCCCUGAAGCAUAUAUGUAACAGUCUCAAAACCUCUAUGCGGGUGAUCAGGAAAUCCAGCAGGAGGAGUCACUGAAAAAUCAUCCAACAUUAGAAAAGGAUCCAAGAACUUCAGCUCACUCCUUCCAAUGCCUCUUCUAACAACAGCACCAUCGCCCUCAUACUGGGGGGUGGCUAGGACCUUCUUGGUGACCAAUCUUGGUCUAUUGAAACCAUGGGAUUGAUUAGAUGCAGACAUGAUAUUUCUGAUGGAGGAAACAGCUUUGAUAUUGUUUCUGCUCUUGGCAGUUGUUGGGUACAAGCUAAACAAUAACUUGUUAUAUAAAGCUUUCAUAUAAAAUAAGGAAAGCCCGGUUUGUUUGUUGUGUGUGUCCUCUCUGCUUUCCUGUAAAAGAAAUUGG
This 1217-nucleotide unclassified non-coding RNA is filed under the name Hevea brasiliensis (rubber tree). Lineage: Eukaryota; Viridiplantae; Streptophyta; Magnoliopsida; Malpighiales; Euphorbiaceae. The record is from RNAcentral.